Molecule: long non-coding RNA, 366 nt
Filed under: Androctonus crassicauda
Lineage: Eukaryota; Metazoa; Arthropoda; Arachnida; Scorpiones; Buthidae
Source: RNAcentral
ACAGCCCCCAAGACUGUGUUGUCAGUCUCUUCUUUGUAAUUACUAAAAUGGAGGGAACCCAGGGUCGCUUUGGAGACCCAAACUUGGCUGCAGCCUACAGCCUUGCUCAGUCAUAUGGAACCAAAUCUAGGAAGGGACCUUAGAGACAGCAACGCCAGUUCCCUGUGCAGACCUUCCCACGUGUUGCCUGCAUCCGCAAUCCCUUUUAGUUCAGCCACCUGAGGGGCUACCCCGUGUUCCGUGUACUCUGAGCUAGCUCCGGUGUGUGUCUGUGGACUCUGGGUCACUAAAGGUUUGCCCGAAUGAAUUUCUGAAUCUUUGGCGUUGAGAAGAUGUUGAUUCUAAUAAAGCUCCUGCAUUUCUGCC